AAAGGUUUCCUGGGGAAGGUAAAUCCGCCCAGGGUUAGCCGGGACCUAAGACGAGGCCGAAAGGCGUAGUCGAUGGACAUGGGGUUAAUAGUCCCCAGCACGCGUGGAGAUCAAACCAUGGUUCGAAUUCCGAUAGCCCACGGGGACGCUAGCUGCGCCCAGGCCCUUGAGGCCGAUGUGGGUGUAGGGGUUCCUAGAAAAGCCAUGGGGGCAAGACGCGUCCCGUACCAAAACUGACACAGGUGGAUGAGGCGAAUAGCCUAAGGCGCUCGAGAGAACGGUCGUGAAGGAACUAGUCAAAUUGACCCCGUAACUUCGGGAUAAGGGGGCCCUCGCCGCAAGGCAGGGCGCAGAGAAAAGGCUCUGGGAACUGUUUAUCAAAAACACAGCACUGUGCAAAGACGCAAGUCGAAGUAUACAGUGUGACGCUUGCCCAAUACCGGAAUGUCAAGGAAGUGGCUCAUCGCAAGAGAAGGUCAUAACCGAAGCACCGGGGAAUGGCGGCCGUAACUAUGACGGUCCUAAGGUAGCGAAGUUCCUUGUCGGGUAAGUUCCGACGCGCAUGAAUAGCGUAAUCACUGGAGCACUGUCUCCACGACCGACUCGGUGAAAUAGUAGUGGCGGUGUAGAUGCCGCCUACCCGCAGCAAGACGGAAAGACCCCGUGGACCUUUACUGCAGGCUUGCAUUGGCCACGAGCAUAUUUUGCGUAGCAUAGGUGGGAGCCUUUGACGCCCGGAUUCCGGUCCGGGACGAGGCACAGGUGAAAUACCACCCUGAAUAAGUUUGUGGCCUAACUCCGAUUCCCAUGAAUCUGGGCGGAGAACAGUGCAUGUCGGGCAGUUUGAUUGGGGCGGUCUCCUCCAAAAAGGUAACGGAGGAGUGCAAAGUUCGGCUCAGCACGGAUGGAAACCGUGUGUCGAGUGCAAGAGCAUAAGCCGGAUUUACUGCGAGACCGACGGGUCGAGCAGUCUCGAAAGAGGGCUCUAGUGAUCCUGCGAUCCCGUGUGGAAGGGUCGUAGCUCAUCGGAUAAAAGGUACCCCCGGGAUAACAGGCUGAUCGCUCCCGAGCGUCCAUAGCGGCGGAGCGGUUUGGCACCUCGAUGUCGGCUCAUCACAUCCUGGGACUGAAGGCGGCCCCAAGGGUUCGGCUGUUCGCCGAUUAAAGUGGUACGCGAGCUGGGUUCAGACCGGCGUGAGCCAGGUCGGUCCCUAUCUGUUGUGGGCGUUGCAGAUUUGAGUGGCUUCAACUUUAGUACGAGAGGACUGGGUUGGACGAACCCCUGGUGAUCCAGUUGCACUGCUAAGUGCAUAGCUGGGUAGCUACGUUCGGCAGGGAUAACCGCUGAAAGCAUCUAAGCGGGAAGCCCCCCACAAGACUAGAUCUGCGUGUCUUCGGACGAAAGACCCCUGGUAGACCACCAGGUUGAUAGGCCGCAAAUGUACGGGCUGAAAGGCCCUUAGUUGAGCGGUACUAACGGUCGAACGUCUGGUCAU
RNAcentral lists this ribosomal RNA (1496 nucleotides) under metagenome. RNAcentral describes it as "bacterial LSU rRNA". It matches the Rfam family "Bacterial large subunit ribosomal RNA", at positions 1346 to 2925 of the family's 2925-position model. The record is from RNAcentral.